This 322-nucleotide long non-coding RNA is filed under the name Physcomitrium patens. Its description in RNAcentral is "long non-coding RNA (PPAT_LNC005039)". The record is from RNAcentral. Lineage: Eukaryota; Viridiplantae; Streptophyta; Bryopsida; Funariales; Funariaceae.
AACAACAAGAUUUUAAUUUUAAUAGAAUCCUAAAUAACUCCAAUUAAAUCUUUAAAAUUCUAAUCAAGCUUUAAUCAAAUCCAAAAGAACCUCAAAGAAAUUAAAAAAGAAGCAUGAAGAAAUCCUAAAAAAAUUCAAAAAAAGUAUUAGAAUAAAAUCUUAAAUAUAUCUUAAAUAAAUUCCAACCAAAUCUUCAUUUAAUCAUAAUUAAAAUUUUAGAAGUCCUUUCUUAAAUCCUAAGUCAAAUCUUGACUAAAUUCUAAAAAAUUCUAAAAAAUCCUAAACAAUCUUAAAUCCUUAACAAAUACUAAAUUCUAACCGA